GGGGUUGUCGUGAACCCAGUUCGUCUUGCAAAUCUUGGAGACUUCGGGAUCCCCGAGUUUGUAGCUGAUAAGCAUUUACAAGCAGAAAGGCUUAAGGUAAGGUUCUUGUUUCCAUUGCUGGAACUUUCUAUGACCAAUGCAAAAUUUGAGUCAAGUGUUGAUGGUAUUGAUUAGAAGAAUCUCCCUGUACUUCUAGGGUAACAACAUAAGCAAGGGAACAAUGAGCUGGAAAUUUUUCUUGGAUUAGUUUGAUUCUGUUGUGAACAGAUUUUAGCUAAUACUGAGCACUAAGACACUAAUGGCUAAAUUAACUAAUUAGCUUACAGUUGUCUUCUGUGUUUCAUUCAUUCCAAAUAAUUACAUAUAAUAAUCUAGAACAUUCCCUUUCUAUCACAAACUAUUGGCACCUCACCUAUUCUCUAAAAUAUUCCUAUAAUGAUUUCUUUUAUCCAUAGCAGAUUCUUGGUUGAUCUCUGUUUAUUUAAAUUAAAAGUAGCAAUGAUCAUAGAUGUAUUCACGGAGCAGGAGUUCUUUAACAAAUAUAGGGAAAGGUCACACGGGUUCAAGCCAUGGAAACAGUCACUAAUGUAAUUAUCAGGUUAAUUUGUGUACAUUACACUCUUUAGUUGUGGCCCUUUUCCGAAUCCUGUGUUAAUGUGGAUGCUUGUUCACCAGGCUAACCCUGUUGCUUCUAUAUUUCGACGAAAGGAAUAAUGGCCAUUACAUAUAGUUUGCUCUGCAUUUAACAACUAAAGAAAGUACAAAGGAAGCUGAAUUAAUUGCAGCUUCAGAAAGAUCAGGGGAUGGAGGUUUGCAAAUUUAUGAAUUUGAAUACAUCAUUGAUAGUACUCGUAGAGGAAAGAAGAGGAUAUUGACCUCAAAGAAACUCUAUCUUCUUAACAUUGUUCAUUCUGAUAAACCAGAGAGUCCUCUUGAGCCACAUAAACAAAUUAUUUUAGAUCAA
This is a non-coding RNA of Arachis ipaensis, 964 nucleotides long. The record is from RefSeq and is a predicted model, not a curated record. NCBI's taxonomy places the organism in Eukaryota, Viridiplantae, Streptophyta, Magnoliopsida, Fabales, Fabaceae.